GUGGAAGGCUGAGAAAGGCAAUUCCGGUUGUCCGGAGCCAUCAGUGAGAUACCACUCUGGGAGAGCUAGGAGUCUAAUGGCGUUCCUUGAAUCAGGACGCUUGACAGUUUCAGGUGGGCAGUUUUACUGGGGCGGUAGCCUCCUAAAAGGUAACGGAGGCGUGCAAAGGUUCCCUCAGGCUGGACGGAAAUCAGCCAUAGAGUGUAAAGGCAGAAGGGAGCUUGACUGCAAGACCUACAAGUCGAGCAGGGACGAAAGUCGGCCUUAGUGAUCCGACGGUGCCGUGUGGGAGGGCCGUCGCUCAACGGAUAAAAGUUACUCUAGGGAUAACA
Molecule: ribosomal RNA, 332 nt
Filed under: uncultured eukaryote
Lineage: Eukaryota
Description: LSU rRNA
Rfam family: Bacterial large subunit ribosomal RNA
Source: RNAcentral